Long non-coding RNA from Vitis vinifera (wine grape), 715 nucleotides. RefSeq lists it as uncharacterized. NCBI's taxonomy places the organism in Eukaryota, Viridiplantae, Streptophyta, Magnoliopsida, Vitales, Vitaceae. The record is from RefSeq and is a predicted model, not a curated record. The transcript has 2 exons.
AUCAUAAAUUUCAUAACUUCAAAAUAUUAAAAUUUCAACCUUAAUUUAAGUACUUAAAUAAAACUAGAAAAUCAAGGUACAUGGUUAAUUUAACUUAAAGAGAAUAAUUUAGAGGAUACUUGGCACACCUAUAGUGUAUAAAAGAUUUUAAGGUCCAUCUUGUUAUUCUUGUGUCGUUUAGGAGUAUUUGUUAUACUCCAUGAAGAGAAGGAAAUCAAAGGAGUAAAUUCAUAAAUAUAUAAACUAAAUGCAAGAAAAUUCAUCAUUUCUCCUAUUCUUCUUCUCUUAUUCUUCUUCCUUUUGGUGGUUAGGCUUCAAAGAUGUGUUGAAGGAGAGCAAAGCAUGAUUUGAGGCAAUGGCGGAGCCAACAAAGGGCUUGAGGGAGGCAACAUGUAACUCCUUAUUUCAAGGGAAGUAACAAAGAAAUUCCUCUCUUUUCUAUUAGAAGGGGUUCAAGUCCCCUAGAAGACAUUUUUUUUCAAAAAAAAAAAAAAGAAAAAAAGAAAAAAAAAAGUGCAUGUGAUAAAGUUCUAUAAUUUCAACCAUUUUAUUUUAUUUCAUGAAAUAUUUGGUUGCUAAGAGAGUGAAGGAAAACUGUACAUUUUUCAUGAAUAAUGUCCCUAAUAUUGUAAAUUAAGGUUUUUUAGCAAACCAUUCAAUGCAUUACUAGCUCUAGAACUCAAUAUAUUGCCAAUGUCAUUGGGUUUUACAAGGA